ACCCGCUGAACUUAAGCAUAUCAAUAAGCGGAGGAAAAGAAACUAACAAGGAUUCCCCUAGUAACGGCGAGUGAAGCGGGAAGAGCUCAAAUUUGAAAUCUGGCGGUCUCAGGCCGUCCGAGUUGUAAUCUAGAGAGGUGUUUUCCGUGCCGGACCGUGUACAAGUCCCUUGGAACAGGGCGUCAUAGAGGGUGAGAAUCCCGUCCAUGACACGGACUACCGGUGCUCUGUGAUACACCUUCAAAGAGUCGAGUUGUUUGGGAAUGCAGCUCAAAAUGGGUGGUAAAUUCCAUCUAAAGCUAAAUACAGGCGAGAGACCGAUAGCGAACAAGUACCGUGAGGGAAAGAUGAAAAGAACUUUGGAAAGAGAGUUAAACAGUACGUGAAAUUGUUGAAAGGGAAACGCUUGAAGUCAGUCGCGUCUGCCAGGACUCAGCCUUGCUUCUGCUUGGUGCACUUCUUGGUGGAUGGGCCAGCAUCGAUUUUGAUUGCCGGAAAAGGGCGGGAGGAAUGUGGCAGCUUUUGCUGUGUUAUAGCCUUCCGUCGUACACGGUGGUUGGGAUCGAGGACUGCAGCACGCCUUUGGUCGGGGUUCGCCCACGCCACGUGCUUAGGAUGCUGGCGUAAUGGCUUUAAACGACCCGUCUUGAAACACGGACCAAGGAGUCUAACAUGCCUGCGAGUGUUUGGGUGCAAAACCCAGGCGCGUAAUGAAAGUGAAAAGUUGGGACUCUUUAGUGAGGCACCGACGCCCGACCCUGAAGUCUUCUGACGGGUUUGAGGCAGAGCAUGUAUGUUGGGACCCGAAAGAUGGUGAACUAUGCCUGAAUAGGGUGAAGCCAGAGGAAACUCUGGUGGAGGCUCGUAGCGAUUCUGACGUGC
This 882-nucleotide ribosomal RNA is filed under the name Auricularia cornea. RNAcentral describes it as "partial large subunit ribosomal RNA". It matches the Rfam family "Eukaryotic large subunit ribosomal RNA", at positions 23 to 894 of the family's 3401-position model. The record is from RNAcentral. Lineage: Eukaryota; Fungi; Basidiomycota; Agaricomycetes; Auriculariales; Auriculariaceae.